This 1626-nucleotide ribosomal RNA is filed under the name Triticum aestivum (bread wheat). RNAcentral's name for it is "partial small subunit ribosomal RNA". Lineage: Eukaryota; Viridiplantae; Streptophyta; Magnoliopsida; Poales; Poaceae. The record is from RNAcentral.
AUGGGCCAGUCNNNNNNNNNNNNNNNNNNNNNNNNNNNNNNNNNNNNNNNNNNNNNNNNNNNNCCCUCCUCCAUGGCGCCGCCGAUGCCCGCGGGCGCGGGGAGCGGCAGCCUCGACCCACCCCCCUUCGCGCCGCCCCCGCCGGCGCGCGACCACACGCAGGACCUCCCCGACGAGAUCCUCACGCUCGUCUUCGCCUCGCUCACCCCGGCCGAGCGCAACGCCUGCUCCCUCACCUGCGCGCGCUGGAAGGAGGUCGACGCCGCCACGCGCCACCGCCUCUCCCUCGACGCGCGCGCCAUGCUCGGCUACAACACCCCCGCCAUCUUCUCCCGCUUCACCGCCGUCACCAAGCUCGCCCUCCGCUGCGCGCGCGGCUCCGGCGCCGACAGCCUCAACGACGGUGGGGCCGCCGCCGUCGCCGCCACGCUGCCCUCCGACCGCCUCGCCAGGCUCAAGCUCAGGGGCCUCAGGCAGCUCUCCGACGCCGGCCUCGCCUCCCUCGCCGCCGCGGCCCCCGUGCUCCGCAAGCUCUCCGUCGCCUCCUGCACCUUCGGGCCCAAGGCCUUCGUCGCCGUGCUCCAGUCCUGCCCCGUCCUCGAGGACCUCUCCGUCAAGCGCCUCCGCGGCCUCCCGGACACUUCGGGCGCCAUCACCGCCACCGCCAUCACCGAGGACAUCCUCUUCCCGCAAGCCAUGUCGCUGCGCUCGGUCUGCCUCAAGGAUCUGUACAGCGCCCUCUGCUUUGUGCCGCUCGUCUCGUCCUCGCCCAAUCUCCGCUCGCUCAAGAUCCUGCGGUGCUCCGGUGCCUGGGACUUGCCACUGGAGGUCAUUGCCGCCCGUGCUCCUGGCCUCGUCGAGAUUCACCUUGAGAAGCUCCAGGUCGGUGACCGUGGUCUGACUGCUGUCUCGGCCUGUGCGAAUCUGGAGGUGCUGUUCCUUGUCAAGACCCCUGAAUGCACCGAUGAAGGCAUCAUCAGUGUUGCGCAGAACUGCCACAAACUGCGCAAGCUGCAUAUCGAUGGCUGGCGCACAAACCGGAUCGGUGAUUGCGGCCUCAUGGCUGUUGCUCGAGGAUGCCCGGACCUUCAGGAGCUUGUCUUGAUAGGGGUCAACCCCACCGUGCAGAGUCUCCGGAUGCUUGGUGAGCACUGCCGCGCAUUGGAGCGUCUUGCGCUUUGUGGCUGCGAGACUGUAGGGGAUACCGAGAUCAUUUGCCUGGCGGAGCGGUGUGCUGCUCUCAAGAAGCUUUGCAUCAAGGGAUGCCCGGUCACAGACCGCGGGAUGGGAGCACUCAAUGGGGGUUGCCCCAGCUUGGUCAAGGUGAAGUUGAAGAGGUGCCGUGGAGUGUCGUAUGAAUGUGUUGAGCAUCUGAAGAUGGCCAGGGGGGGUUCCUUCUCGAUCAGCCUGGAUAUUGUGUUGGAGCAUGAUGCAGUCGCUCCAAGUGAAAAUGGUGUGCAAGAGACUGGACAACAAGCACAGGUUACAGAGCUAACUGGUCAGAUGGCUGCCAUGGACCUUCCCACUAAUGCUGCUGGUGCACAAUCUUUUGCUCAGGCGAACAGUAGGAUGCGGAGCGUCAUGUCGGCACUUAGAAGGAGAUUCGGCAACCCUCCACCAGCGUGA